This 83-nucleotide transfer RNA is filed under the name Niveomyces insectorum RCEF 264. RNAcentral's name for it is "Sporothrix insectorum RCEF 264 tRNA". It matches the Rfam family "tRNA". Rfam says of the family: Transfer RNA (tRNA) molecules are approximately 80 nucleotides in length. Lineage: Eukaryota; Fungi; Ascomycota; Sordariomycetes; Hypocreales; Cordycipitaceae. The record is from Rfam by way of RNAcentral.
GGUCUGUUAGUCUAGUGGUUAGGACGUUGGAUUUUGAUCAUACCAGCAUUCCAAAGACACCAGUUCGAACCUGGUACGGACCU